GUCAGCUGCUAGACUCUUGUUUUCAGCUGCCAGAACCUGGGUAUCAGUCAGCUGAGUAGUAGAUGAGGCCUGGGUGGCAGGUGCCUCCCGAGCCUCUGGGACCUCCAGUGCCUUUGAGGCCUUCGGUGUCUCUGGGACCUCCACAUUCUGGGUCACUGUCAACAGAGUCUGCAUCAUCGAGCUACUGUCCUUUUCUGAAG
RNAcentral lists this long non-coding RNA (200 nucleotides) under Homo sapiens (human). Its description in RNAcentral is "HSALNT0282872". The record is from RNAcentral. Lineage: Eukaryota; Metazoa; Chordata; Mammalia; Primates; Hominidae.